RNAcentral lists this microRNA precursor (60 nucleotides) under Xenopus laevis (African clawed frog). Its description in RNAcentral is "microRNA xla-mir-181b precursor (xla-mir-181b-2)". Its record names the gene xla-mir-181b-2. It matches the Rfam family "mir-181 microRNA precursor family", at positions 12 to 73 of the family's 83-position model. Rfam says of the family: In this case the mature sequence comes from the 5' arm of the precursor. Lineage: Eukaryota; Metazoa; Chordata; Amphibia; Anura; Pipidae. The record is from miRBase by way of RNAcentral.
AACAUUCAUUGCUGUCGGUGGGUUGUAGUUUAGAAUAGCUCAUUGAUCAAUGAAUGCAAA